AAAUAACAUAAAAUAGGCAAACACUUGAUACUAGGAUCAAAUAAAGCUCCAUAUCAGUCAUGUUUCUAAUGUCAUAAGCACCAAACGAAAGCAAACUAAACAAAAUUUGCAUGAUAAAUGGUUUAAACCAAUAUAUAUCCUGAUUCAAACACCAAAAUUUCUGCGAAAUUAGAUCCUAGCCUACACUUUGAUAGCAUACUUUCUCAAAGGGAAGUACAUCUCCUUCUUCUUCUCUCUCUCCGUCUUCAAGGAAGCCUGGUGCUUGGUCAAACGCUUGCGGAUGGCCCUAGUUUUCUUUGGGCGCAGGUCAAGAGGCAGGUAUUUCUUGUUCUUGUAAACUUCCCUA
RNAcentral lists this unclassified non-coding RNA (346 nucleotides) under Hevea brasiliensis (rubber tree). The record is from RNAcentral. Lineage: Eukaryota; Viridiplantae; Streptophyta; Magnoliopsida; Malpighiales; Euphorbiaceae.